UCAGUCAGACGGAGGUAUUUCGAGAGCCAAAGCAAGACGAGGCUCUUGUCCUUGCUCAGAUAUAACAAGGACAUCAGGCUCUUUUUAAAAAUUCGAUGUUUUUCCAAUGGAGUUUUGAAUGGAGCGUGAUUAAAAAAGACAAAGCUGCUUCAAAUUAGCUUAAAUGGAGAGAAACAGCGUGGUAGCCAUGUGUUCAAACACCUGUGUCCCAUCAUGCCGCAAAAUAUUAAAUAUGAGACACAGAGAAGGAAAACGGGACACUCACUUCCUCCGACCAUCCCCGGGGUCUGCCAGCAGGCCAGCAGGAGCAGCAGCAUCAGCCCGAGAUCCAGGAGCCAGGUGAGGUGAUUCAGACAUCUGCUCACAGUGCCUCCAGGACGCCUCCCUGUGGUGGUUAUUUUGAGCCACUGGGAGGAAGACAAAAGUGGGGAAGAUCAAAAGCAUGCUGCAGGGUUUAAAUAUCCCAUCUGGUAUGGGAACGCCCUGGGAUCCCCCUGUAAACACUGAAUCAUCUGCUGGAGAGAUUUUUGAUCUAAAGAGGCAAGAGAAGACCAGAAAGGGAGGGGGAGAGAGAGCCUGCAGAAGCAACAUAGACGAGCAUAUAAGAGGAAAAUAUCUGAGGUCAAUCAGCAAAAAGAGCCACAGAUAAAAAGGCUGCAAGGCCUUCAUUUUAUGUCUCUACAAAGGAUUAUUUCACCCCACAAAAGAAGCACAUAGUAGCAGUUAUUCAGUUGUUCAUAACUCCAACUGGACACUUAGGUGCACCUGUUCAGCUGGUGUAUAUAUGUAAUCAACCAAUCCAUGAAGACAACUCAGGGUAUUUAGGUACAUAGAUCAAGACGACCUGAGCAUCAGAAUGAUUAAAAAGGUGAUUUAAGUAACUUUGAAUGUGGUAUGGUUGUUGGUCUGAAUAUUUCAGAAACAGCUGAUCAGCUGGGAUUUUCUGGCACUCUUGUCUCUCUCUGGGAGAAGAUGUCUUUUUGAUGUAAGAGGUCAGAGGAGAAUACAAAACUGCUUUAAAGUGUCAGAAAGGCCUCAGUAUCUAAAAUAACCACUUGUCAGAAGAGCAUUUCAAGAACAGCAGAAGACCACACCAGGUGCUCCUCCUGUGAGCUAAGAACACCAAACUGAGGUGUUGGCUAAUAACCUUGGACAAUAGAAGUUUGGAAAAAUGUUGUCUGAUCUGACGAGUUUCGAUUUCUGCUGCUACAAUCAGAUGGUAGUGUCACAAUUUGGUGUAAACAACAUGAAUGCAUGGAUCCAUCCUGCCUUGUGAUGUGCUUACAGCACAUCUGCAUCAAAUUAUAUGAUGCUACAAUGUCAAAAUCGCUGAGGAAUUUUUCCAGCACCUUGCUGAAUCUAUGCCGUGAAUGACUGAGUCAGUUCUGAAGGGGUCUAGCCCAGUAUUACCAGGGUAUACCUAAUAAAGUGACCAGUGGGUGUAAUUCUUCCAUAAUGAAUCAGAUUCGCAUGCAACAGGGGGUCCAACCGGAUAGUAACAAGGUGUACCUAAUAAAGUGGCUGGUGACUGUAUAUGCUGGUGACUGUA
Molecule: long non-coding RNA, 1549 nt
Organism: Oreochromis niloticus (Nile tilapia)
Lineage: Eukaryota; Metazoa; Chordata; Actinopteri; Cichliformes; Cichlidae
Exons: 3
Source: RefSeq, a predicted model, not a curated record